CUAGGAUUAGAUACCCUAUUAUUAAAAUUUAAAUUGAAAAUACUAAAAUAGUAGAUAAUUAUUUAUUGAAACUUAAAUAAUUUGGCGGUAUUUUAGUUCAUUUAGAGGAAUCUGUUUAAUAAUUGAUAAUCCACGAAUAAAUUUACUUAAUUUUUUAUUUUGUAUAUCGUUGUUAAAAAAAUAUUUUUUAAUAAUAAUAAUAUUUAAAAAUUUUGAUUAAAAAUUAAAUCAGAUCAAGAUGCAGAUUAUAAUUAAGAAUAUAAUGGAUUACAAUAAAUUUAUUUAGAUGAAUAUUAAUUUGUAAAAGUUAAUUGAAGGUGGAUUUAAA
RNAcentral lists this ribosomal RNA (328 nucleotides) under Spodoptera frugiperda (fall armyworm). Its description in RNAcentral is "partial small subunit ribosomal RNA". The record is from RNAcentral. Lineage: Eukaryota; Metazoa; Arthropoda; Insecta; Lepidoptera; Noctuidae.